Molecule: unclassified non-coding RNA, 250 nt
Filed under: plant metagenome
Description: partial contains small subunit ribosomal RNA, internal transcribed spacer 1, and 5.8S ribosomal RNA
Source: RNAcentral
GUAGGUGAACCUGCGGAAGGAUCAUUAUUGAAUAAACUGGCUUUCCCUACUAGUGCUGGCAUCUUUUUUGCAAGUGCACAUUUAGAGAAGUCUUUAUCCAACUUACACCUGUGAACUAUGAGAGUGUAGCCUUUCUCGAGAGGCAUGGCUCUUCCUUUUUUUACAAACACUGUAUUAAAAUAAGAAAUCAAAUAAAUCAUAAAUAAUACAACUUUCAACAACGGAUCUCUUGGCUCUCGCAUCGAUGAAG